GGGGGCUGGGAAUGUAGCUCAGUUGGUAGAGUGCUUGCCUUGCAUGCACAAGGCCCUGGGAUCAAUCCCCAGAGCCUCCA
Molecule: non-coding RNA, 80 nt
Organism: Marmota monax (woodchuck)
Lineage: Eukaryota; Metazoa; Chordata; Mammalia; Rodentia; Sciuridae
Source: the annotation of a RefSeq genome assembly